Lathyrus oleraceus (garden pea) is the source of this 757-nucleotide long non-coding RNA. RefSeq lists it as uncharacterized. The record is from RefSeq and is a predicted model, not a curated record. The transcript is spliced from 2 exons. Lineage: Eukaryota; Viridiplantae; Streptophyta; Magnoliopsida; Fabales; Fabaceae.
UCCAUAUUCAUAUUACCGCGUGUAUUCAACAAUCAUUGUCAAUAUUUUGCAUCUGCCGCAUGUAUUCAACAAUCAUUGUCAAUAUUUUGCUGGUUUUUGACAUAAGUAUCACACCAUAGUCAAUUUCAAACACAACCCAUCAGAGGAUGAAAUGGAUUGAUAAAGAUUUUGGAGUGUUGUGGUGUCUGAACAGAUUCACAUAGUCCACAUGAACAAACCAAACUGAGAACACUAAUUCCCCACAUCACUCUCCCUAUAUUAAGUCUUAACAACAGAGAACAAUGAAAGAAGAUAAUGGUGGUGGCAUGUGAAACAUGAAGAGGAGUGUAGUAUGCAUCUUCAAUGGCAUCAUUAUAUCAUAGUGCCUUUUCAUUUUCACCUACAAAACUUUUUCCUAUCAUCUUUAAGCCAUCUUUCAGAUGCUCCACCAUUACUACUAAUUCCACACCACCCUACAAUUCCCUUGUUUUUGAGCCACUUUUUGAAGGUAAAUUCAAAUCUGAAAGGAAGGGUAUCAAAGAAUGGGAGGAAGUUAUAUGGUUGGCAGUAUGUUGGUGCAUACGGAGAUCAAGAACUGGGAUUUUAUCUAAUGAUGCAGUCAGCAGGUGACUCCGAAGAAAUUGUCUUUAAAGUCAGGAUGUUCUCUUGGUCGUGGCUUGUUAUAGACUCUAAAAAAAGAGAGGCUAAAAUGUAAUUUAUAUGAGUGGUAAAGAUCCACUUGAUUACCUUAAACUGGUUUGGUUUAUUAUUUGUGGUA